Molecule: ribosomal RNA, 1380 nt
Filed under: uncultured bacterium
Lineage: Bacteria
Description: partial 16S ribosomal RNA
Rfam family: Bacterial small subunit ribosomal RNA
Source: RNAcentral
CUUAGAGUUUGAUCCUGGCUCAGGACGAACCCUUGCGGCGUGCCUAACACAUGCAAGUCGAGCGAAUGAAAUUCCUUCGGGAACGGAUUUAGCGGCGGACGGGUGAGUAACACGUGGGCAACCUGCCUCAUAGAGGGGAAUAGCCUUCCGAAAGGGAGAUUAAUACCGCAUAAGAUUGUAGUACCGCAUGGUACAGCAAUUAAAGGAGCAAUCCGCUAUGAGAUGGGCCCGCGGCGCAUUAGCUAGUUGGUGAGGUAACGGCUCACCAAGGCGACGAUGCGUAGCCGACCUGAGAGGGUGAUCGGCCACAUUGGGACUGAGACACGGCCCAGACUCCUACGGGAGGCAGCAGUGGGGAAUAUUGCACAAUGGGGGAAACCCUGAUGCAGCAACGCCGCGUGAGUGAUGACGGCCUUCGGGUUGUAAAGCUCUGUCUUCAGGGACGAAAAUGACGGUACCUCCAGAACAAGCCACGGCUAACUACGUGCCAGCAGCCGCGGUAAUACGUAGGUGGCAAGCGUUAUCCGGAUUUACUGGGUGUAAAGGGCGCGCAGGCGGCCCCAAAAGUCAGAUGUGAAAGAUCAAGGCUUAACUUUGACAUGUCAUCUGAAACUUUGGGACUUGAGUAUCAGAGGGGAAAGCGGAAUUCCUGGUGGAGCGGUAAAAUGCGCAGAGAUCAGGAGGAACACCGGUGGCGAAGGCGGCUUUCUGGCUGACAACUGACGCUGAGGCGCGAAAGCGUGGGGAGCAAACAGAAGGAGAUACCCUGGUAGUCCACGCCGUAAACGAUGAUUACUGGGUGUAGGGGGUAUCGACUCCCUCUGUGCCGAAGCUAACGCGAUAAGUAAUCCACCUGGGGAGUACGGCCGCAAGGCUAAAACUCAAAGGAAUUGACGGGGGCCCGCACAAGCAGUGGAGUAUGUGGUUUAAUUCGAGGCAACGCGAAGAACCUUACCAGGGUUUGACAUCCCGCGCUCGGGGUAGAGAUACCCUUUUCCCUUCGGGGACGCGGAGACAGGUGGUGCAUGGUUGUCGUCAGCUCGUGUCGUGAGAUGUUCGGUUAAGUGCCAUAACGAGCGCAACCCUCAUCAUUAGUUACCAUCAGGUUAAGCUGGGGACUCUAAUGAGACUGCCAUCGUAAGAUGCGAGGAAGGUGGGGAUGACGUCAAAUCAGCACGGCCCUUACGUCCGGGGCGACACACGUGUUACAAUGGGUGGUACAAAGGGCAGCUACAUGGCGACAUGAUGCUAAUCUCCAAAACCACUCUCAGUUCGGAUCGGAGUCUGCAACUCGACUUCGUGAAGCUGGAUUCGCUAGUAAUCGCGCAUCAGCCACGGCGCGGUGAAUACGUUCCCGGGCCUUGUACACGCCGCCCGUCA